GGGUUGUGAGGUUAAGCGACUAAGCGUACACGGUGGAUGCCCUGGCAGUCAGAGGCGAUGAAGGACGUGCUAAUCUGCGAUAAGCGUCGGUAAGGUGAUAUGAACCGUUAUAACCGGCGAUUUCCGAAUGGGGAAACCCAGUGUGAUUCGUCACACUAUCAUUAACUGAAUCCAUAGGUUAAUGAGGCGAACCGGGGGAACUGAAACAUCUAAGUACCCCGAGGAAAAGAAAUCAACCGAGAUUCCCCCAGUAGCGGCGAGCGAACGGGGAGGAGCCCAGAGCCUGAAUCAGUGUGUGUGUUAGUGGAAGCGUCUGGAAAGGCGCGCGAUACAGGGUGAGAGCCCCGUACACAAAAAUGCACAUGCUGUGAGCUCGAUGAGUAGGGCGGGACACGUGGUAUCCUGUCUG
RNAcentral lists this ribosomal RNA (409 nucleotides) under Escherichia coli. RNAcentral describes it as "partial 23S ribosomal RNA". It matches the Rfam family "Bacterial large subunit ribosomal RNA", at positions 1 to 440 of the family's 2925-position model. Lineage: Bacteria; Pseudomonadati; Pseudomonadota; Gammaproteobacteria; Enterobacterales; Enterobacteriaceae. The record is from RNAcentral.